UUUCCUGAAUCAUCUUUGUCGACGCAUCGCAUAAAUUACUCACUUCCCAGAUCAUCCCAUGUAACCGAUGCCGACUUCGAAUUUGUCAUGCUCGCUGAUAAAAGUAGACUGAGCCUCAACCCAUAUAUUUAUGGCGCACGACCGUUUCGUGCACCCGAGGCAACCCCAUAUGCCGUUGUAGCGCCAAUCUACCAACAGCAAUCUACUCAACAGCCAAAUGUUCAACAAACAGAUAAUGAUUCUACCAACCAUCCAGCAGAGGACAUGCAUCACCAGGUCCCUACAUUACCUACCAAUCAAUCUGAGGAACUACCAGCGUUCAUACUUCCAAUUUUGCGAACGCAUAAUGCAAAAUGGGCACUUGAUAUUUCAAAAGCCACAUCACGACUCAACAAACUGCACGCAAAGCGCAUGAACGAGUAUGCACAAGAUGUCAUUGCUGCCUCAAGAAUUCAUACUCCAACAACACCUACUUAUUCCUCGCCUGAUAGGGUAGGCCAAGACUCAUAUACUGAAAAUGCUCAAGAACAUGGGACCAAAGCUACACCCAACACCAAGUUUUGGCAGGAAGCAGCUGCAUAUGCCGAAGAGGUUGAGAAAAGUGUUUGAAAAACACCUCGUAAUAACCAGGAUGUUGCUUCUACAUCAGCUCCUGCGACGAACCAAUCCACCGGAGAGGAAGAUACAAGGCGGAGGAUUCUUGAUACGUACGAAGAUGCAAGUUUCAGCUUUCUACCUCCAGGUCAAACUUGGACCCAAGUAUGGUCCGAACCUGCUUCGUCGCCACAUCAUCCACAUACUGCCGAUGCCGCUACUGCAGUUGGACAAUCCUCAGCUCCAGAAAAUGCAGGACCAACAACCAUGUCAACAGUGGACGCAAACUUGGUGCACAUCAGUCACGGAACAUCCCCUGUACAAUCGCCACCACCAAAAUCACCAACCCAUCUCAACCAGGAAAAUGGAACCAAAGCACCUAGCAUCAUCCAUAUCGUGACCGAGGUACAACAACCCACCGUGAGGGAUAUCCCUGAAACUAUUGGCACCCAAACUCAGGAAAAGAAAAAUAGGAAGAAGCGAGCUUGUCUUCGAAAAACCGAGGACACAAGGUUGAAGAAGCUCAAGGUUAACAGUUCCUCAAUUCAAAUAUACACUAAGUACAUUACCACCAGAUGUGUGAGACCUCCGACAAAAAAGGAA
Molecule: long non-coding RNA, 1197 nt
Organism: Triticum dicoccoides
Lineage: Eukaryota; Viridiplantae; Streptophyta; Magnoliopsida; Poales; Poaceae
Exons: 7
Source: RefSeq, a predicted model, not a curated record